Meriones unguiculatus (Mongolian gerbil) is the source of this 4418-nucleotide long non-coding RNA. RefSeq lists it as uncharacterized. Lineage: Eukaryota; Metazoa; Chordata; Mammalia; Rodentia; Muridae. The transcript is spliced from 2 exons. The record is from RefSeq and is a predicted model, not a curated record.
GAAAGUGCUUAUUUUCCAUUUAUUUUCUACUUUUUAAUGAUUUAUUUACAUGUACAAUUACAUCUCUUACUAAAUUCAUGUGAAAAAGUUUUGUGUCUUAUUUCCUCUAGGAAUUUUAUUUGCAGGAUCAUGGGGAGAGAUAGAAAUGUUCUGUGCUAAACUUGCACUUACCUGUCUCAUUGGAAAUCUCAACGUGUGGGCAAGGAAUGCAGUCGAAGCAGCAGGAAGGUUUCUCUUCCCGGGUGGCUUUCCUGAAUCCAGGCUGGCAGCUCUGACUGCACACAGACUGAGGAACCUCAGAAGAAUGAAAUCAAAUUAUCUAAUACUCAGUGUUUUAUAGAAAAUCUAGUAAAUACAGUUUUAAAGUAUUAUACAGUUUAUUUUAAAAUGUUAUUUCUACCAAUGGAAAAAAUGGUUCUGAAAGGCGUAUGGUGAACAUGUGCUUGUGUAUAAUGAUUUGUCUGAAGAUUAUCAAAGUGUUGGACAAUCUGGAACCUUAAUAAAUUAAGGACAAGUGUAAGGAAGUGAUGUCACUGGGGCUAUGACCUAGAAAAGCCCAAGACUGACCCUGUUUCUGUACUUACUGGUUAAAUGAUGGAGCAGCUCUUACUUUCAUGAUUAUGAACCUUGCUUGUCAAAUUGACAGAACUUAGAAUCAUCACAGAAAGAAAUAUUUGGGCAUUUCUGUGAGGGAUUUUUACCAGAGAUAAAAUUAUGCCAGAGAUGAAAUGGGUCAUUCUAAAAGUGAGUGCUACAAUUUCAUUGGCUGUUGUCUCAAAAUGAGUGAAAAGGAGGAAACAGUAAGCAGUUGCAUUCAUUGUUACCCAAUUCCUGAGUCUGAAUGUGGUAUCAACAGCCACCCACGCUCCUACAACCAAUGCAUUUGCAAAGCUAAUGGACUGCAUCCUCAAACUGUCAGCCAAAAUAAGUGCUUCCUUAAGUUAAUUUAGUUAUAGUUGCAGCAGCCAGACAAGCCAGUGACAUACAACUAUGCAUGCUAAAUGGUUCUCUUUCUCUAGACAUAUCAAAGGAAAACAAUGACUGAUGAUGGACUAGAACUUCUAAGCAAGGAAUCAAAAUGAACCUGUGAUUUCCUUAGAGACAAUGAAGGAAUUCUAAUACAGAUUCUAUGUGGUAGUUUAAAUUAAAAAAAAAAAUGUUCCCCAUAGUUUAAAUAUUUAUUUCCUCAUUGGUGGGGCUACUUGGGGAAUUAUUGGAAUUUUAGACUUGUAUAGACUUGUUGGAGAAAUUAUUUCAGAGGUUAAAGAUUUUGAAAUGCUAAGCCCUACCCAAUUCCAUUGUUCUUUCUCUACUUCCUGUGUGUUAAUAGAGAUGUUAUCUCUCAGGUUUCUGCUUCUUUCUCUGUAGCUGUCACUUGCUGGCAUGGCUGCAAUUAGCUGUCAUACCAACAGAACCAUAGCCAAAAUAAACUCUUUCUUCAAAAAGGCAAUUUUGGAUAUGGUAUUUAAUCACAGUAAUAAAACAAAAAUAUUACAUGGUUUUAUAAUGUGAAAACUAAAUUAAGUGAAUUACAUUAUAGACUGGCCUGUGGAAUAUUUAAGAGAUUGAGGUUCUCUCUUCCUAAAUGUCCCUAAUUACUGUCAAAUUGACAAGAAACUAAUCUAUAUAUGACUGAAGAUUAGGAAACGUGUUUAAAACAACACACUUCCAUUUAAGAUAAUCAGGAGUGCAAAAAUAUCCUUUAUUGUUAGGGAUGUUUUUCUAUUCCCUUCUUGUAGCUAUAUACAUUUUUGGGCCUUGAGUGAGAAAUCAAAUGUCAUUGCAAUGGGAAACAGUUUUGUUAUUGUGGUAAGUUCAAUUAUUAAGAAAAUAUUGUUUCCCACAUGUGUCUUUUGCAAGAAAUGAUGAAGCUGAAAAGGAUGCGUGAGCCUGUGUUAAAGUGGGCCAAAAAGAUGGAAAAGAACGCUGUUAUAGGAAGUCUCUUGUUGUUUCUAAUCUUGGUGUAAAACAAACCAUGAAUGUAGGUAUUCGUAUGGUGGAGCAGUGGAGUCUUAGUGAACGAGAUGCAGCAAGAGAAGAAUUAGGACCAAGGAAGGGUAAGAACUUAGUUACUGUGCUUCAAGCAAUUCUCAGCUCUUGGAAUAGCAAGCUGCAUUUGUUUACUUUCAGAGGACAUGCAGACAUUCAGUGUGUAAAGUGGACUUACUGAUGUCUAACAGGGACUAAAAAAUAUGGAAUGCUUCACGAAUUUUCAUGUCAUCCUUGCUCAGGGGCCAUGCUAAUCUUCUCUGCAUCAAUCAUAUUUUAGCAUAUGUGCUGCUGAAGGAAGCACUCUAAUAUUUUCUUAUGGAAACGAUUAUCAUGAGAAGAUUAUGAGGUUAUUUGUGACACAAACUUAAUAUUGACUGGAAACGUCCUUUUUGUUAGCUGAGCUUGAUACUCCAGCAAUACCCAUAAGUGAAUCUACAUUGAACUCUGACUAAGCUAGUGACCACAGACUCUCCAGGGAUUCUUAACAAAAUAUGUGGAAAUGUAGAAUACCUAACUUGGUACCUUCUCAAAUUCUCAGAGUUAUAAUUUUCAAAUUCUAACAUUGAGAAUGUUAGAAUUCAAAUCGAAGGCUAUUACCUACCAGGAGAAAAAAAAAUCCAUUUCUUCACCACUUGCAUAUGGUUGCCUUUGAACUUGUUGAAGAUUCAUCUCGUGGAGACUGUGGUCCAGGCAAGAAUUCCAAGGAGGCAUUGGGUUCGCAGUUUUCUGAAAGUUUGCAGUCAAGUUGAGAAAAUGAACAUUUGAAGAACAAAAACCACAACUUAGGAAGAUAAGUGUCUUCUGGGUAGUUGUAAGGACUAACUGUUCUAAUAAAAUCAGUAAAUUCAACAAUCUGCUCAUGGUGGUGUGAAAAGAUAAUACUCCCAUGGAAUGAAUUUAAUAGGAAAUAAUCAGCAUGGUUGGUAACAUCCCAUUGAGAGUUCAUGACCCAGACUCUCCAUGUUAUAAACUGUUGCCCUAGAUUUCGCAUUAAACCAUGUAAAGAAUCAAUGUCACCAAAAAUGAUGAUAACAUUGGCCAAUGAUUCUUAAACCUUCUCUAUAUUUUUCCAGAAUUUAUUGGAAAAUGAAGUCCAGGUCCUUGGGAUUAUUUCCACAAGAGCAAUGCACAUUUUAUUACUCUCCAUCUUUUGUCUUAAAUCUGUUAGUAUUUGAGACCCUAUGUGGUCAUCUGGAAGGAACAGACCAACCCAGUUCCAGUUGAAAUAAAGUAUCAAAGAGACAAUGGCAAGUGAAAGAGAUGUGUCUUUGGGAGCCAUCUGAUAGAGAAAGUUAAAGUUACCUUGGUCACUCAAUGUGGAAUCAAAAGGCCCAAAUGUAAGCUGAUGGGAAAACAAUAGAACACAAAGGAAAGACACUUGAAUCACACAUGGUUUUAGCCAUGAAACAGCAUAUGGAGAUGGUUGGGCUGAAGAUGUUUUCAUCUUGAUUUUAAAGUCAGAUUUCUAUGUCAGAUAUUUACAGUAAAUUAAUGACAGUUCUUCCAGUUUGACAGCCAUCUUCAUUGGUCCAGACUUCUGUUCCUGUCUACUGCAAACCAGAAAAAUAUGGAUCCAUCAUCAAUUGCCUAGCUCCUUCCUCUUUGAUACUUGAGCAGUUUAAGUGUUCCUCUUUUAUCACUGCAGUAUCUGAAAUGUCCAAACAGCAGAUUCGGAUCUCUUUUCUCACACCUUUUGUCUUACCUGUGGGAAUUUGUAGAGUUGUAGCAGUGUGCCGAUGUAGGCAGAAGUUGCGGGUGAUGUUCCUGUAAGCACAGCAGCUGUCUUGCUCCUUUUUCUACGGUUGUAAUUACAAAAGGGAUUGCUCAGCCCUGUGAGCCAAAUGAGGACAUUCACUAAAAUGUGUGUGUCAUUUUAUGGAAUAUUGUAGAAAUCAAAUCCCAGAGAUAUGCUGGGUAAAGGAUGGGGAUUCCUGUUGAUCUCCUCAAUGGCAAACACCAGAGCCAGAAGAAACUGGUAGUUCUUAAACUUAUACCUGUAUGGAUGGCAUAGAAGCACGCAGAAUGAAGACAGACUACACACAGCUGCAGAUUUAGUGUGAUGUCAUGCUUAAUAUUACGUUUACAUGACUGAAAUAUGUCCUUGUAUCUCCUAUUUCUUAAAGAUAUUAUGUGUAAGUGUUCUGCUGCACAUACAACACGCCAGUAGAUGGCGUUAGAUCCCUUUAUAGAUGGUCAUGAGCCACCUGUGAUUGCUGGGAAUUGAACUCAGAACUUCUGGAAGAGCAGUCACUGCUCUUAACUGCUGAGCCAUCUCUCCAGCCCCUAUCGAUAUCUCAUUAGAUUGAGAUGAGAUGCUGAAGGUAUGACCCCAUUUUUGACAGUCCCAGGGGAGCUCACUUUAUAUUACCUUCUAUGUUGGGUACACUAAAACUUCUGCCCAUGAAUCUGAACACUGCCUCACAAAA